Molecule: non-coding RNA, 3136 nt
Organism: Varroa destructor (honeybee mite)
Lineage: Eukaryota; Metazoa; Arthropoda; Arachnida; Mesostigmata; Varroidae
Source: RefSeq, a predicted model, not a curated record
UUUCCUUCGGCAGACCUGUUGCUAUUAUCGUCGACUUGCGUCCUGCUUCCUUGCUAGCGUAACUGCGUUUGAUGCUCCUGUUUACACUGUCUCGGCGCAGCAACGGUUCGUUCAACAAUCGCCUGCUGGUGUAGCAACGGUGAUCACAGUCGUAAAGAUUGUUAGCUGGGUUGCUGUGUCAACGGAACAGGGUCAGUAGCGGCUGUGCCAGCCCGCCAGCGUCGGCGACUCCCCGACGGCAGUAACAGCACGGCGCUCCGCUCGCGUUCCCCCUCUUUCACUUUGUCGGCCGCUGACAUCACUGGAGUGCCGAAGCGAAGCAGGAUGACGGACGGCUGACUGGCGGCCUAACGGUAUUGCCGUUGCCAUUACCCUACCAGCAAUCGACACCGCUCACACUGCUAGAACUGCCAGCAGCAAGCGAAAACCAAUAACAGCUGCCGCCGCCGCUAUUCUACCAGCAGGCGAACUAGCGUCAAUAUGUCGUUGUCGUCUGACUGACAACCCGUUCAGUUGUUGAGCUGCGAACUGACUGCCGCAGUACAGCAGUUCAAUUCGAAGAACAGCAAUGACGACCGGUACAUUUGCGCCCGUCGAAAGUCUAAAACGUUCACUUUUGGAGAAAGAUGUCCGGUCGUCGACGAGAACGACAACAGCAACUACAACGACCGUGGCCCCUGUCAGCGCUUCGAGGGCCCUGUCAACCACUCGACUGAGUACUUCUUCGGACGGAAUUCAGCCUCAGCUUCAUCUUCAACAACAACAACAACUUCAACGAGCUACACUCCAGCUUCUAGAGCAGGUUGUGACUGAUUCUUGUGGGAAAUCAGUGUCCGCAUCUCUGCGGAUGAUAACAACUACGGACACGGUAGCGCCAAAUCAACUCGAAUCAUCAGCGGCAGCAGUGGCGACGGUAACAGCUAAACGCGGGAAUGGCAACCACGAAAAUGUGGCUGAAGCUGCGUACACGUGCGAUGUUUGCCUUGCUGAUUCAAACGUAUUGGAGACCCGCUCCUGCUGCGGAGUCAAAAUAUGUUUGCCCUGCUUCGAAGAGUAUUUGGAAGAACGAAUCAUGGCCGGCUUCACUCGAAUCGAGUGCGUUAAUUGCAACCGAUUAAUAGCCGCUCAUAACGUGCUUCGGGCACUCACGCGUAACGGACGACUUCGUAUACGAGAUGAGUUCGCCCGUCUGCUUCGGGGCGAUAAAAAGUGUCCACGUUGUCAGCUAAUUCUGGUUAAGUUUGACGGAUCGAGCUGUCCGCGGUGCGGCCUGAACUGGUGUUUUCGGUGUGAGGCGACGCACGAAGGCGUUAAUUGUGACCAGUUCAGUGAAGUUCAUCGCAACCAAAUCAAAUCGUGGGCACAGUCAGUGUCGGAAGGUCAGUGGAACGCCCAAAAGUGCCCCCGCUGUAAAGUGUACGUCCAGCGUGCGUCCGGUUGCGACCACAUGCAUUGCGCACAUUGCCAUACGCAUUUUUGCUAUCGCUGCGGCAAACGAUUACGCCAUAUGAAGUUUUUCGGUGAUCAUCAUAGUAAACUCAGUGUGUUCGGCUGUAAAUAUCGGUAUAAACCAAAUCAACCAAUCCAAAGAAAGUUGAUUCGGAGCGCAGUGUUUGUCGCCCGUCUAGUUGCCAUUCCGCUGGCAGGAGUCGGCGCGUUAUGCGGCCUCGCUCUUGUAGCGCUGCUGGCCGUACCUAUGUAUGCCGGCUAUCGGGUCCACCGUAAUGUCUCCGCUCGAACCAACUUCAACCCUAAAACUUCAACGACGACUGCGACAGGUCGCCCGUCGGAAACGAAGGCUGACUCGAAUGAACCGAGUGUGAGUCCCCCAACCUACGACUCCGGAAGUGAAAGCAGCAGCAGGAUUGUUAGCCCUCCCCAAUGAAGCCUGAUAUGCCGGUCUAUGUCGAUUGCAGUAUAGUGAGUAUACGCCAAAAUGCAAGAAGCAACCGGUCAAUCUGUGAUAAAGUUAUCUUAUUUUGCACUCACAUGCCUAUUGCACUACUAAAUAAUAGUAAGACUAAUCAUGAUAAUAACAUUAAUAAUGAUGAUAGUAAUAGACCGUGCGUGUGCCUGACUUAGCAGUUGUAGGAUAUUGUUCUACGCUACUUUUACUACAUAUAGGUUAUUAUCCAAGGGAUACGUAUAGAGGUACAAUGCCUACAAAGCGCCGGGAUAGAACGAAGGUCGUUGCCAAAACUACGUUCCCGGGUAGUCGACAAUGACUCAAUCUCUGAGCUGUUUAGUACAAACUCUAAUACGCAGAACAAUGUCUUUUGCGUUGGUCCUCCUUUGCAAAUCUCUGAUCUCUGCUGGUGCAGUACAAGUACCGAUCAGGGAAGAUCCAAGCUGCCUAUAGCAAUAGUGAAACAGAGCGCGAUCAUUUACAUGUGAAUGGAUUGAUUUCGUACGGUCCAGUACGUACUACGGUGUCGACCACAACAACAAACGCAAUCGAUCCUAAUUCAAAAGCAAAUAAGUAGGGUGCGGACGUACGCAUCGAUAUGGCCAGUGAUGUGAGAGUGAAUUAUUUAUUAAUCGAGAACGAAAAAAAAAAAUAAAAAUCAGUAUUCAGACAGAAAUCGUGUUUUCGUCCAAUUUAUCGUAAUGGGCAGAGAUGAAAACUAUCGGUUUGAAAUGAUGUGGAUGACCAUAUUCCUUUUCGUCGGCGCCAGCUUUUCAAGAAAAUUAGGACAGGUCUGUCUAGGGAAACGAGAAAGACUUAGAUUAUCUCUCUCUCGGUCUACGCAAAAGGAGGUGGCCCUCCAGAUACAGAUCGGAAGAUUUCCCGCUAAAGUCUUUUUACGCUAUGCAACAUAACUAAUUCUAAAGGACAAUGGUACUACGUAUUAUGUGCUUAGUUUCAUCGUGGAUCCUUCUCAUAUCGAACAUUUCUGCUCCAUAUUAGUAUCAUUGUUGUUCUAUAGUUGACUAUAUCUGUCGAAGUACACAGUUAUCUCAAAAUACAAUGGAUAACUAACAAAUGGCCUACACAAUAACGUAUUAACCAUAUGGGAUCAAAGUUCUAUAUGGACAGUGGCUUUUCUCCAAUCAUCAGCUGCUUUUGUCCAAAAGUGCCAGUCAAAAGCAGAGUUCAGUAGAAAUGAUGAACUUCAGCUUCGUUUGCAUGGUCUGC